This 834-nucleotide ribosomal RNA is filed under the name Triticum aestivum (bread wheat). Its description in RNAcentral is "partial small subunit ribosomal RNA". Lineage: Eukaryota; Viridiplantae; Streptophyta; Magnoliopsida; Poales; Poaceae. The record is from RNAcentral.
AUGUUGGACGUCUCCUCGAUGAGCAUGACCUUUUGCCCUGGCCACGAGUAUCCGAUUAAUCCCAUCUAUCUCUCCGUCGGCGAUACUACGCUAUUCUGUCUCAGCGAAACCUCCUUCGAGAUGCUCCACUGGGAGCCUCUCUGCCCGCCGCCGCUGGGUCAACGUCGCAGCAGGGAGUGGUCGUGGCAACGGCUCGAGCAUCCGCCAUUCAAGGGUUAUAACGUCACGUCCUACGCUGUGCAUCCUGAGGCAUGUACCAUCUUCGUCAGCACCAAGAGGGACGACGACAUUGCGGCGGCCACCUUCGCCUUUGACACGGCAAAGCAUACCUGGGAGCAACUCGGCAGUUGGGCGCUGCCCUUCUCAGGCCGUGGUCACUUUGACCCGCACCUCAAUGCCUUUAAUUCCAACACUGACACCCUUGGCCAAGUCUACUCCUGCUGCUUGCCCAGCUCGAGCACUGGCCACGGCCUCGAGUGGAAGCUCGGCAAGGAGAAGCUGUUCAGCCAGGACCCAGCUGAGAGGCAUGUAGGCGCCACCCUUGUCUACAUGGGCCACAGCAAAUUCUGCCUAGUGCAAUGUGUCUCCAACUCCAUUGAAGGCGAAAGCAAUGGUCAGGAGCUUAAGGAAGAAGAGGGAGAUGUCGGCGGACCAGUUUGCCGUACUGAGGACUGGGGUGCUGAUCCGGAGCUCGAUGAAGAGGCAGAUGUCCAGGAGCUUAAGGAAGAGGGAGAUGUUCAGGAGCUUAAGGAAAAGGGAGAUGAGGACGAGGUAUAUGAUCAGGAGCUCAUGGACGAGUUGCUCUCCUAUGUAUCACCUUUCGCGAGACCAUAG